CCUACGGGUGGCAGCAGUGAGGAAUAUUGGUCAAUGGACGAGAGUCUGAACCAGCCAAGUAGCGUGAAGGAUGACUUCCCUAUGGGUUGUACACUUCUUUUAUAUGGGAAUAAAAUGUUCCACGUGUGGGAUUUUGUAUGUACCAUAUGAAUAAGGAUCGGCUAACUCCGUGCCAGCAGCCGCGGUAAUACGGAGGAUCCGAGCGUUAUCCGGAUUUAUUGGGUUUAAAGGGUGGUGAGGUGGAUUGUUAAAUCAGUUGUGAAAGUUUGCGGCUCAAACGUAAAAUUGCAGUUGAAACUGGCAGUCUUGAGUACAGUAGAGGUGGGCGGAAUUCGUGGUGAAGCGGUGAAAUGCUUAGAUAUCACGAAGAACUCCGAUUGCGAAGGCAGUUCACUGGACUGCAACUGACACUGAGGCUCGAAAGUGUGGGUAUCAAACAGGAUUAGAUACCCCAGUAGUC
This 460-nucleotide ribosomal RNA is filed under the name uncultured bacterium. Its description in RNAcentral is "partial 16S ribosomal RNA". It matches the Rfam family "Bacterial small subunit ribosomal RNA", at positions 338 to 795 of the family's 1533-position model. The record is from RNAcentral.